Poeciliopsis prolifica (blackstripe livebearer) is the source of this 341-nucleotide long non-coding RNA. RefSeq lists it as uncharacterized. The record is from RefSeq and is a predicted model, not a curated record. NCBI's taxonomy places the organism in Eukaryota, Metazoa, Chordata, Actinopteri, Cyprinodontiformes, Poeciliidae. The transcript is spliced from 3 exons.
ACUACAUCUUGUAUCAUCCGGUCUCCUGGUCCAUAUUCACACAACGCAGAGUACUGACGAACAGCCAUAAUAAUUAAAAAGGUUACAUCCCUCUGCUAUUGAUAAUUUCAUAUACAAACAGCGGGUGACAGACUCAUCUAUGUAGGGUGGAGAUGGAACAGCAGGACAUAUGAUUGGCACAAAACACCUGAAAGAGCUCCAUGAGACAUCUGAAUAGACGGAACACACACUUGCUGAGCUAGCGAAUCAGGUUGGCCGAACCACCUUUCUGGUGAACCCCCCACAUUUCCUCGCCCCAUCCACAAAGUUGCCAAUAUCAGCUCAGAAGAAGUGGGACUGCU